Molecule: long non-coding RNA, 158 nt
Filed under: Ictidomys tridecemlineatus (thirteen-lined ground squirrel)
Lineage: Eukaryota; Metazoa; Chordata; Mammalia; Rodentia; Sciuridae
Description: lncRNA (ENSSTOG00000029703.1)
Source: RNAcentral
AGAUAUGUUCUACAAUGAGGCCCAGUCCAGAGGAAUUGGAGGAAAGGAACUAGAGAUACCUCUUUCUGGGCGCAUCCUGCUGUGUUGACAUGAGAAUCUGUUGUGACAUCCUUGAGAUGUAUUAAACAGGUGAGCACAGUAUAAAAGUCCACCCCCUG